This 254-nucleotide ribosomal RNA is filed under the name uncultured bacterium. RNAcentral's name for it is "partial 16S ribosomal RNA". It matches the Rfam family "Bacterial small subunit ribosomal RNA", at positions 524 to 776 of the family's 1533-position model. The record is from RNAcentral.
UACGUAGGGCGCAAGCGUUGUCCGGAAUUAUUGGGCGUAAAGAGCUCGUAGGCGGUUCGGUAAGUCGGGUGUGAAAACUCUGGGCUCAACCCAGAGAGGCCACCCGAUACUGCUGUGACUAGAGUGCGGUAGGGGAGCGGGGAAUUCCUGGUGUAGCGGUGAAAUGCGCAGAUAUCAGGAGGAACACCAGCGGCGAAGGCGCCGCUCUGGGCCGUAACUGACGCUGAGGAGCGAAAGCAUGGGUAGCAAACAGG